This 293-nucleotide ribosomal RNA is filed under the name Babesia bigemina. RNAcentral's name for it is "partial small subunit ribosomal RNA". It matches the Rfam family "Eukaryotic small subunit ribosomal RNA", at positions 508 to 865 of the family's 1831-position model. Lineage: Eukaryota; Apicomplexa; Aconoidasida; Piroplasmida; Babesiidae. The record is from RNAcentral.
AUUGGAAUGAUGGUGAUGUACAACCUCACCAGAGUACCAAUUGGAGGGCAAGUCUGGUGCCAGCAGCCGCGGUAAUUCCAGCUCCAAUAGCGUAUAUUAAACUUGUUGCAGUUAAAAAGCUCGUAGUUGUAUUUCAGCCUCGCGUUUUUUCCCUGGUUUUGGGUCUUUUCGCUGGCUUUUUUUUUACUUUGAGAAAAUUAGAGUGUUUCAAGCAGACUUUUGUCUUGAAUACUUCAGCAUGGAAUAAUAGAGUAGGACCUUGGUUCUAUUUUGUUGGUUUUGAGCCUUGGUAA